UUAAACUCGUUGAACACAUCGAAACAGAGAGAUUGAAGAAGCAGAGGAAGGAAGAAAGAGCUGUUGUUUCAAGAUGUGGAGUGUUGGGGCCUUUGACUCAAUCACUUUAACAACACCAUCUCCGUCGUCAGCUCUGUUCGGAGCUCUGGCCAAACCACCCACUUGUUCACUCCGCGUUCACUUUCCCUCUAGGCCUCUACGAGCUCUUCCCACCUUCACUCUUUCAAAUCAAUCGUCUUCUUUCGGAUCCAAGAAAGCUCUCCCCUUUCGAUGCUCUGCCGCAUUGACUCCGGAGCUGAAGAGUACGCUGGACAAAGUUGUUACUUCACACAAAGUGGUGCUGUUUAUGAAGGGAACCAAGGACUUCCCGCAGUGUGGAUUUUCAAACACUGUUGUACAAAUAUUGAGGUCGUUGAAUGUACCUUUCGAGACAAUUAAUAUCCUGGAAAAUGAGUUUCUGCGUCAGGGAUUGAAGGAGUAUUCCAGUUGGCCCACAUUUCCUCAACUUUAUGUUGAAGGAGAAUUCUUUGGUGGUUGUGACAUCACUGUUGAUGCAUACAAAAGUGGGGAGUUGCAGGAAGUACUGGAGAAGGCAAUGUGCUCAUGAAGCUUUCGGGUUGGGACUUAUCAAAGUGUGGACUGUGCUCAUAUUGCUUCAAUCUGUGCUACAAAUUUGUGUCAUACACACCCCAAAUUUGCAUGGAAACAUGAAGGCACCAUCCAGUCCUGUAAGAUCGAUCAUCAUAUUUCUUUUCUCUGUGCCCAAAUUCAAAUGAACACUUCAAUCUGGUCCCUAUCUGGCCUCAAGGACCCGGUAAAUUAUUCCUGUUCUGUAGUGAAUAAUACACCAGAGACCAGACUCUUAUUAUGGUGUAAAUUGGCCUUUUGUAUUAUGCUCAAUAUUGCCUUGACAGAAUACUUUUCUGGCAUUACUAGGCAAGUGGCAUGGUUUCUAUCAGUUUCUAGAAAUUCAAGAUGUAUGCAGUUUUGAAACA
Molecule: RNA transcript, 995 nt
Organism: Argentina anserina (silverweed cinquefoil)
Lineage: Eukaryota; Viridiplantae; Streptophyta; Magnoliopsida; Rosales; Rosaceae
Exons: 5
Source: RefSeq, a predicted model, not a curated record